UUGUGGAGGAGGACGCCGAAGGUGGGGCUAAUGACUGGGGUGAAGUCGUAACAAGGUAGCCGUACCGGAAGGUGCGGCUGGAUCACCUCCUAACAGGGAGACAACAAAAUGUUUAAUAUUAUUAUUUUGUCACCUUAGGUCGAUCGGUAUCUCACGUUCUUAAUUUGUUAAGAAUUUCAUUUCCUAAGUUUUUCUAGGUCACACCCAUUAUUUUUCCUGGGCCAUUAGCUCAGGUGGUUAGAGCGCACCCCUGAUAAGGGUGAGGUCCCUGGUUCAAGUCCAGGAUGGCCCAUAUCUCUAUGUUGGGGUAUAGCUCAGUUGGUAGAGCGCCUGCUUUGCAAGCAGGAUGUCAGCGGUUCGAGUCCGCUUACCUCCACUGAUUACCACCUCUUCCAUAACUGGUAGAAAGGAAAUGUUUUGAGUUGUGAUUAUUAUUCUGAACGAAUCUAGCUUCCUAAUGAAAUCAUUAAGAUGCUGGACUCAUUGAAUUAAUUUCAUUGUUUUCAGAGAACCUUGACAACUGCAUAGAUUUUUUUAAAGACAAUAAGCAUCUUUAAUGAUGCAGAUUUAUUAUUUGUGCGAAUGCAUUAAUAACAAUUCUAUUAUGCUGAUGCUUCAAUUUUGAAGUUAUUGGUCAAGCUACAA
RNAcentral lists this unclassified non-coding RNA (645 nucleotides) under uncultured Prochlorococcus sp. Its description in RNAcentral is "partial 16S-23S ribosomal RNA intergenic spacer; may also contain 16S ribosomal RNA and 23S ribosomal RNA". The stretch from base 1 to 93 matches the Rfam family "Bacterial small subunit ribosomal RNA", at positions 1441 to 1533 of the family's 1533-position model. The record is from RNAcentral. Lineage: Bacteria; Bacillati; Cyanobacteriota; Cyanophyceae; Synechococcales; Prochlorococcaceae.